AUGGAGGGUGACAGGAAAUCUGAGACUGAGAAGAUGCUGAAAUCUAGUUCUGUUGUUACACGUUCAACAGCAUCGUCAAAAAGGUCUAGUAGGACAUCGGCUAGCAUGGCUGCUGCCAAAGCACGAGCUAGAGCUGAGGCAGAGCGUACACGUGCAUAUUAUGUCAAGAAAGAAACUGAAAUGAAAGUAGAAAAAGUUCGCAUGGAAGGCAGUCUUAAAGCAUUAGAACAUGAAAAGGAGGCUGCUGCCGCUAUGGCCGAGGCAAGAAUAUUAGAGGAGGCUGUAGAGAGCAUGGAGGAAGGCAGUUAUCGUUCACAUAGCCCGAUUGCUCCUGUUGCAGACCCUGUGCAGCGCACGAGUGAUUAUGUGGAGCAGCACACAAAUAACUCCAUUGUUGUUCCUCCUGAGGAAAUAAGUUUAGCCACUCCACCUGUUGAUUUCAUGAACCUUUAUGGAAGUGAAAACAAGCAGUUAAAGGAAAGCUCUCAUAGGAGUGUGCCACCUGAUUUUGUUGAACAAGUCAACGAUUCAGUCUCAAAGCCUUACGCUAACAAGAUUGAAAAGCCUCAGUCUGCCACGUACAGUCCAGUUAAUUACUGGCCCCUUGCACAGACUUUCAAUUCCGGCGUUCCUAUGCAGUCACCUUCCCACGGAGAAGUUGAAAUGAGUGAUUUAGCAAGGUUUCUUGCCCGUCGUGAGAUCAUUAGUUCCGGGCUCACAAUAUUCGACGAUCACCCAGAAAACUACUGGGCUUGGAAAUCCUCUUUCUUAAAUGCCACCAGUGGGCUCAAACUCUCUUCCAGUGAGCAGUUGGAUUUACUGAUUAAGUGGUUAGGCAGUCGGUCAUCAGAAUAUGUGAGACGCAUCAGGUCAGUGAAUAUAAGGUAUCCUGACGCAGGGCUUAAAAUGGCAUGGGAUCGUCUAGAAGAGAUGUAUGGAUCCCCGGAAGUGGUUGAGAAGGCACUUUUUGACAAAAUUGAGAAAUUUCCAAAAAUCAAUAAACAAGAUCCUCUGAAAUUACAAGAGCUCGGAGAUCUGCUACGUGAGGUUCAGUCUGCUAAAGCUGAAGGGUACUUGACAGGACUUUCUUAUCUGGACACCUCCAGAGGAGUCAGUCCGAUCGUGGAGAAGCUGCCUUAUCACCUGCAAGAAAAAUGGAUUUAUCAGGGUUCUGAGUACAAAAGGAAGUACAACGUUACCUUCCCUCCAUUCUCCUUUCUUACUGACUUUGUCUGUCAGGAAGCACGUACUCGAAACGAUCCAAGCUUUAGCUAUAGUGCAGUCUGUACAACCCAGAUCAAAGCAGAACCGUUGGUUAAAAGACAAUUGCAAAGAAGGAUGGCUGUGUCUACACACAAGACGGGUGUAACAUCGUCAACCGGAUUUCUUCCCACAAGAAUUUCCGAAAAUGAACCUAUUGAUGUUGAAAAGCAGUGUCCCAUACAUAAAAACAAACCUCAUCCUCUGAGACGUUGCCGUGGGUUUAGAGCGAAGACUCUAGAAGAAAGGCAAACACUGCUUAGAGAAAAUGGUGUGUGCUAUAGAUGUUGUGCUUCGACGGUUCACUUGGCAAAGAACUGCAAGGCAGUAACCAAAUGUAACGAAUGUGAAAGCGCCCGACAUGUGUCUGCACUUCAUCCUGGUCCUCCACCGUGGGCCAACAAAGACCCUUCAUCAGAUCAUGGCGGGGAGGAGGAUAAAAGCCCUUCUCCUACUGUAACUUCACAAUGCACAGAGAUUUGUGGAGACAGUCCUAUACCCAAAUCAUGCUCUAAGAUAUGCUUGAUAGGAGUAUAUCAUGAGGAUCAUCCAGAAAUUAUGGUCAAGAUGUACGCAGUGCUCGAUGAGCAAAGUAAUAGAUCUCUAGCUAGACCUGAGUUUUUUGAUCUAUUCAAAGUAAAAGGAACAGAGCAUCCAUACACUCUUCGAACUUGUGCUGGGUUAACAGAAACUUCAGGAAGAAGAGCCACUGGGUUUCAAGCUGUAUCUAUGGAUGGAAAGACACACGUGUCACUUCCAACACUCAUCGAGUGUAAUUAUAUGCCUGACGACCAUUCUGAGAUCCCAUCUCCCACCAUUGCACGCCAGUUCCCUCACUUGAUAUCUAUUGCUCACGAAAUACCAGAGAUAGAUCCAUGUGCUAAGAUACUGCUUCUCUUAGGGAGAGACAUCAUCCAAGUCCACAAAGUGAGGAAACAGCUCAAUGGUUUGAAUAAUUCACCGUACGCCCAAAAACUCGACUUUGGCUGGGUGAUAGUGGGAAAUGUCUGCUUGGGGUCAGCACAUAAACCUAGCACAGUUGACGUGUUCCGCACAAACAUACUUCUCAAUGGACGCCCAAGCAUAUGUGAGCCAUGUCCUAAUCAGAUACAGGUGAAAGAGAAGCUAAGCAGUAAAAAUCAUCCCAUCUCUUUACAUGGCUGUCGCUUUUACCCAUCCACCUGCCCUGAGUACUUGCUGGGUAACACUAUUUUCGAACGGACUCAAGAUGAUGAAAAGAUAGCCCCUUCCAUUGAAGAUCGUGCAUUCUUGAAACUGAUGGACAAGGAAAUGUUCAUUGACAGCUCUAACAGCUGGGUGAGCUCGGACACCUGUGCCACCAGCGCUUGGAUAGCACGUCCGGUGUUUGUGAUGCUCUCCUGCUGCUGA
This is a long non-coding RNA of Cyprinus carpio carpio, 2649 nucleotides long. The record is from Ensembl. NCBI's taxonomy places the organism in Eukaryota, Metazoa, Chordata, Actinopteri, Cypriniformes, Cyprinidae.